Podarcis raffonei (Aeolian wall lizard) is the source of this 1500-nucleotide long non-coding RNA. RefSeq lists it as uncharacterized. Lineage: Eukaryota; Metazoa; Chordata; Lepidosauria; Squamata; Lacertidae. The transcript is spliced from 2 exons. The record is from RefSeq and is a predicted model, not a curated record.
UUGAAGUUCGUCUCCUUGUCAGGUCAAGAGCUGUGUGAGUCUUUCUGCAUCUCAGUCAUUUCGACUGUAUGGCAUCGCAGAGAAAAGAAGCAGGAAGGCCAGUCUCCUGGCAGUCACGCAGAGAGGCUCCGCAGGCUGACUUCUGGAGCUCCUCCAGUCAUUACACACUUGGAAAGGGCUCUCCACAAAGUGAUCAUGCUUGCUGACCCCCGUUACCAGCAGAGACACUGCUGAGCGAGGCUGUCACUGCUUUCCGAAUGGUGUGCUGGCACUGGAGUUAUUGUCUUAGCAGCAGGGGGGUUCCCCUGACUUGGGGAAAGAUCACAAGCCAGCCCCUUCAUCUGGCAGAUUUGAAGGAAGCAACUAAAAACUACCGCUGUGAUUUUGUACCACAGCUGAUUCCGACAGCAGAAUGCAAAUUUACAGGGCUUCAACGAUCACUUUUUGUUCCAGCCAAAUGCUUGCAACAAUCGGUUCUCCUCUUUUUCACUGUGCUCUCUGAUGCCCUAGCAUUUAGUUUUCUAUUCUCCUUUGUAUGCAAAUAUGUUGAUUCAAUAAAUUUAUAAUGCAGGUGUCACACAAAGCAUUAGGAGAUGCAUAAAAACAAGCCCGUUUGCUUUCUGAUGACAUUUUUGCUUUCAAGGCAAGGUAUUCCCUGAACAUCUAAUGCAGAGGUUCAAAGAUCCGUUAUUGAGUUUCAAAGAUCCUUUAUUGGAUCCCACUCCACCAUUUGGGGGUCUUCAAGUUCUGGGCCCCAAUCAUUAAAGAUCACCUCUUCCCAUAUGCACCUGUCUGGACACUGCGUUUGCCAUACAAGGCUAUCUGUUCCUGUUGACCCAUCUCCAAAAGAAGCAUGGAGGGUGAAGAUCAGAGAACAGGCAUUCUCUUUAAUAGCAUCCAGUCUUUGGAAUGGUAGUACAAAUCUUGCUAUCAUUUUGGCACAGGUGUCAUGAACUGGCUGGACACAGAGGAAUGUUGGGAAGCACCAGCUGGGGACCCUGCAAGGGAAGAAGGCUCAGAGCCCAAGAAUUCGUGGUAGGAUGAUGAUGAGAGGUCAGAGGGAGAAGCCUGGGGGGGGGAGGUGGCGUUGGAAGCUGAAGAGGUAACAGGAUUUAGUGAGCAGUGAGAGUCUGUGCCAGAGAGAAGUCCAGAAUCAGAGACAGAAGCAGAGGAGAAGGGCGGCCAAAAGGCAGGGGUGAGUCAGGCUGGUGAAGAAGCCUGGGUGUCUUCCCUUUCUGCUGUGACAAGCUCCCUUCCCCCUGAUCUCCAAGGACUAGAAGAGGUAUAAAACAAGAGAAGCAAAUACAGGUUCACUGGCAUAGUCUCAGUUUGCUAGGCAAGGCUCUGCAGCAGGAGGAGACUAAGGGAGCUGUGGAAGGUGGGGACCUUCAGCUCCACAACUGCCUCAUAGGGGCAAGACCUACUAAGAAGAUUUGUUGCACUCAUUAGGCUUGGCACUCCUGAGCAGACCUUGUUUCUUCAAAUAAAAAGUUAACUUCA